This 433-nucleotide ribosomal RNA is filed under the name uncultured bacterium. RNAcentral's name for it is "partial 16S ribosomal RNA". It matches the Rfam family "Bacterial small subunit ribosomal RNA", at positions 29 to 507 of the family's 1533-position model. The record is from RNAcentral.
AACGAACGCUGGCGGCAUGCCUAACACAUGCAAGUCGAACGAGACCUUCGGGUCUAGUGGCGCACGGGUGCGUAACGCGUGGGAACCUGCCCUUAGGUUCGGAAUAACUCCCCGAAAGGGGUGCUAAUACCGGAUAAUGUUUUCGGACCAAAGAUUUAUCGCCUUUGGAUGGGCCCGCGUUGUAUUAGCUAGUUGGUAGGGUAAAAGCCUACCAAGGCGACGAUCUAUAGCUGGUCUGAGAGGAUGAUCAGCCACACUGGGACUGAGACACGGCCCAGACUCCUACGGGAGGCAGCAGUGGGGAAUAUUGGACAAUGCGCGAAAGACUGAUCCAGCAAUGCCGCGUGAGUGAUGAAGGCCUGAGGGUUGUAAAGCUCUUUUACCCGGGAUGAUAAUGACAGUACCGGGAGAAUAAGCUCCGGCUAACUCCGUG